RNAcentral lists this transfer RNA (77 nucleotides) under Acinetobacter indicus. RNAcentral's name for it is "tRNA-Arg". It matches the Rfam family "tRNA". From Rfam's summary of the family: Transfer RNA (tRNA) molecules are approximately 80 nucleotides in length. Their secondary structure includes four short double-helical elements and three loops (D, anti-codon, and T loops). The record is from RNAcentral. Lineage: Bacteria; Pseudomonadati; Pseudomonadota; Gammaproteobacteria; Moraxellales; Moraxellaceae.
GCGCCAUUAGCUCAACUGGAUAGAGCAUGGGUGUUCUAUACCAAUGGUUGUAGGUUCGAAUCCUGCAUGGCGUGCCA